Long non-coding RNA from Impatiens glandulifera, 1474 nucleotides. RefSeq lists it as uncharacterized. The transcript has 3 exons. The record is from RefSeq and is a predicted model, not a curated record. Lineage: Eukaryota; Viridiplantae; Streptophyta; Magnoliopsida; Ericales; Balsaminaceae.
GUUCUGAUAGUGUGAACUAUCCCCCGUUGGUGAUUGAAUUCCAAAUUGCGGACUGCAGUUAUAUGCCAACCCGUGGCUUGAUUGAACAAUCUCCUGGCAGCUAAGCUUUUGGCUCUUCAUUUACAAGUAGAAGAAAAAACCAGGAAUAUUAAAGAAACUUCCAGGAAAAACUACUUAGAUUUAGAAACGUGUCCAAGGAGAAAAGACAAAAGUGAUUCCACGUCAACAGAAUAGACAAGGGUGUCUGGUCCAGCUUUUCGUGGAGGAGGCUAGCACAUCAACCCACGGGUAUGAACUCCUACUUUUAUUUGAUGCUUUCAAUUAGAGUCGAACACAUGACUUCAGGAUAGUAAGCCAGCCCCAUAUUCCAUAGCCUAUGUAAGAUUUCAUCUUAUUGUUAAAGCUAAAUGAAAAUAAAUUAUAUUUCUAAUGGGUAUUGGAAUAAAAUGUUCACGGGUUCUAACAUUUGAAUUAUAACUCAUAGUUAGAAUUAACCUUGUCUGAAAUUGUUAAAACAUUAAAAGAAUCUCUCAUUUCCUACCAUUAGCUUUUAGAUAAUGUUCAAGACGACAGUUUUUCCAAAGGUCAUAUCCUGUUUGGAGGCAUUGCUUACGAAAUAUGUCCCUACGUACCCUCUAAGGACAUCCAUCCCUGCCAAAAUAGCUGGCCAAUUCCAGAAGAGAAAAAGGGUGUUUCUUUUUCUUUCUCUUUUUAGCAGCCUUAAGCUGAUUUUUUAGAAUAUUGCAUGCUUAUCCUGUUGCUGGUUUAUCCUAACUGACGUGUUCCCUUUUAGAGAUCUAGUGUGUUCUUAAGCAUCCAAGUUACUAGACUAUGUUUCUUUUGUAGCAACAGUGAACUUUCUUUUACUUGAAAGCUUGAGGCCUCCAAUAUCAUCUUGAUCUUGAACUUACUCAACCUAGUCACUUUCUUCAAAACCUUAGCGUUGUCAAUGCUCUCUGGUUCACCUCAUUUAUCUCCCUGCAUUAUUUGUUUCCCAGCACACAAUCUUUGUGAAUGGACUAGAAUGGCAUCUUUCAUUAGCAAGCUAACACAACUGCCAACUUUUUGUAUAUAUACACUUGUAACUCCUUUUUUUUUAUUCUUACAUUUACCAGUUUAGCAAAAGAGAAAAAAAUGGUGGCCUCCUCUUGGUUUGCUUUACUAUUUUCAUAGUAUAAAGUUUUAUAUGCUUUCUAUGAAAAAACAAAUGUCAAAGAAAUCAGCAUUUUACCAUAGGAAGAGAAUGGGAAAACAAAUAUAUGUAUAUAUAUAGAAGCCAAUAAAGUUGUCAUGAAAUAGGGGGCUUUCUUAUCUUAAGAUGAAAAAAGAAUACUAGUCCUCCAUUUCCACCACAGAAUCAGAUUCCCCAUUUUAUGUUUUUUUUAACUAGCUAGAUCAUGAAAAAUAGAAAGAAAAAGAAGGGAACAAUUUUUCCUGCCUUUUAAACAAGAAAUUAAAAGGUUCUAACUAUAUC